RNAcentral lists this ribosomal RNA (253 nucleotides) under uncultured bacterium. RNAcentral's name for it is "partial 16S ribosomal RNA". It matches the Rfam family "Bacterial small subunit ribosomal RNA", at positions 524 to 776 of the family's 1533-position model. The record is from RNAcentral.
UACGUAGGGUGCUAGCGUUGUUCGGAAUUACUGGGCGUAAAGCGCACGUAGGCGGAUUGCUAAGUCAGGGGUGAAAUCCCGGGGCUCAACCUCGGAACUGCCUUUGAUACUGGCAAUCUCGAGUCCGGAAGAGGUGAGUGGAAUUCCUAGUGUAGAGGUGAAAUUCGUAGAUAUUAGGAAGAACACCAGUGGCGAAGGCGGCUCACUGGUCCGGUACUGACGCUGAGGUGCGAAAGCGUGGGGAGCAAACAGG